GACGAACGCUGGCGGCGUGCCUAAUACAUGCAAGUAGAACGCUGAAGAGAGGAGCUUGCUCUUCUUGGAUGAGUUGCGAACGGGUGAGUAACGCGUAGGUAACCUGCCUGGUAGCGGGGGAUAACUAUUGGAAACGAUAGCUAAUACCGCAUAAAAUUGAUUAUUGCAUGAUAAUUAAUUGAAAGAUGCAAUUGCAUCACUACCAGAUGGACCUGCGUUGUAUUAGCUAGUUGGUGAGGUAACGGCUCACCAAGGCGACGAUACAUAGCCGACCUGAGAGGGUGAUCGGCCACACUGGGGCUGAGACACGGCCCAGACUCCUACGGGAGGCAGCAGUAGGGAAUCUUCGGCAAUGGGGGGAACCCUGACCGAGCAACGCCGCGUGAGUGAAGAAGGUUUUCGGAUCGUAAAGCUCUGUUGUAAGAGAAGAACGGGUGAGAGAGUGGAAAGUUCACACUGUGACGGUAUCUUACCAGAAAGGGACGGCUAACUACGUGCCAGCAGCCGCGGUAAUACGUAGGUCCCGAGCGUUGUCCGGAUUUAUUGGGCGUAAAGCGAGCGCAGGCGGUUAGAUAAGUCUGAAGUUAAAGGCUGUGGCUUAACCAUAGUAUGCUUUGGAAACUGUUUAACUUGAGUGCAGAAGGGGAGAGUGGAAUUCCAUGUGUAGCGGUGAAAUGCGUAGAUAUAUGGAGGAACACCGGUGGCGAAAGCGGCUCUCUGGUCUGUAACUGACGCUGAGGCUCGAAAGCGUGGGGAGCAAACAGGAUUAGAUACCCUGGUAGUCCACGCCGUAAACGAUGGGUGCUAGGUGUUAGGCCCUUUCCGGGGCUUAGUGCCGCAGCUAACGCAUUAAGCACUCCGCCUGGGGAGUACGACCGCAAGGUUGAAACUCAAAGGAAUUGACGGGGGCCCGCACAAGCGGUGGAGCAUGUGGUUUAAUUCGAAGCAACGCGAAGAGCCUUACCAGGUCUUGACAUCCCUCUGACCGCUCUAGAGAUAGAGUUUUCCUUCGGGACAGAGGUGACAGGUGGUGCAUGGUUGUCGUCAGCUCGUGUCAUGAGAUGUUGGGUUAAGUCCCGCAACGAGCGCAACCCCUAUUGUUAGUUGCCAUCAUUCAGUUGGGCACUCUAGCGAGACUGCCGGUAAUAAACCGGAGGAAGGUGGGGAUGACGUCAAAUCAUCAUGCCCCUUAUGACCUGGGCUACACACGUGCUACAAUGGCUGGUACAACGAGUCGCAAGCCGGUGACGGCAAGCUAAUCUCUGAAAGCCAGUCUCAGUUCGGAUUGUAGGCUGCAACUCGCCUACAUGAAGUCGGAAUCGCUAGUAAUCGCGGAUCAGCACGCCGCGGUGAAUACGUUCCCGGGCCU
This 1369-nucleotide ribosomal RNA is filed under the name uncultured bacterium. RNAcentral describes it as "bacterial SSU rRNA". It matches the Rfam family "Bacterial small subunit ribosomal RNA", at positions 28 to 1381 of the family's 1533-position model. The record is from RNAcentral.